CUUUACUACAACUUUGCAGUGGUAUUAGGGAUAGCAUGUGUAGCAUAGGUGGGACGCUGUGAAGCUUGGGCGCAAGCCUGAGUGGAGCGGUCAGUGAAAUACCACCCUUGUAAUCCUUGAUAUCUAACUGAGCCCGGAGAAACACGGGCCAGGACCCUGCAUGGCGGGUAGUUUGACUGGGGCGGUCGCCUCCCAAAGCAUAACGGAGGCGCGCGAUGGUUAGCUCAGGAUGGUCGGAAAUCAUCUGUUGAGUGCAAUGGCAUAAGCUAGCCUGACUGCAAGACGUACAUGUCAAGCAGAGACGAAAGUCGGUCAUAGUGAUCCGGUGGUUCUUCGUGGAGGGGCCAUCGCUCAACGAAUAAAAGGUA
Molecule: ribosomal RNA, 368 nt
Filed under: uncultured organism
Description: bacterial LSU rRNA
Rfam family: Bacterial large subunit ribosomal RNA
Source: RNAcentral